RNAcentral lists this ribosomal RNA (444 nucleotides) under uncultured bacterium. Its description in RNAcentral is "bacterial SSU rRNA". It matches the Rfam family "Bacterial small subunit ribosomal RNA", at positions 29 to 508 of the family's 1533-position model. The record is from RNAcentral.
AACGAACGCUGGCGGCAGGCCUAACACAUGCAAGUCGAACGAGAAGCCACCUUCGGGUGGUGGACAGUGGCAGACGGGUGAGUAACGCGUGGGAACGUGCCUUUCGGUUCGGAAUAACCCAGGGAAACUUGGGCUAAUACCGGAUACGCCCUUCGGGGGAAAGAUUCAUCGCCGAAAGAUCGGCCCGCGUCGGAUUAGCUAGUUGGUGGGGUAAUGGCUCACCAAGGCGACGAUCCGUAGCUGGUCUGAGAGGAUGACCAGCCACACUGGGACUGAGACACGGCCCAGACUCCUACGGGAGGCAGCAGUGGGGAAUAUUGGACAAUGGGCGCAAGCCUGAUCCAGCCAUGCCGCGUGGGUGAAGAAGGCCUUAGGGUUGUAAACCCCUUUCAGCGGGGAAGAUAAUGACGGUACCCGCAGAAGAAGUCCCGGCUAACUCCGUGC